This 912-nucleotide non-coding RNA is filed under the name Trichomonas vaginalis G3. RNAcentral's name for it is "Eukaryotic small subunit ribosomal RNA". It matches the Rfam family "Eukaryotic small subunit ribosomal RNA", at positions 441 to 1501 of the family's 1831-position model. The record is from Rfam by way of RNAcentral. Lineage: Eukaryota; Parabasalia; Trichomonadida; Trichomonadidae.
UUUCCCACUCGAGACUUUCGGAGGAGGUAAUGACCAGUUCCAUUGGUGCCUUUUGGUACUGUGGAUAGGGGUACGGUUUUCCACCGUACCGAAACCUAGCAGAGGGCCAGUCUGGUGCCAGCAGCUGCGGUAAUUCCAGCUCUGCGAGUUUGCUCCCAUAUUGUUGCAGUUAAAACGCCCGUAGUCUGAAUUGGCCAGCAAUGGUCGUACGUAUUUUUACGUUCACUGUGAACAAAUCAGGACGCUUAGAGUAUGGCCACAUGAAUGACUCAGCGCAGUAUGAAGUCUUUGUUUUCUUCCGAAAACAAGCUCAAUGAGAGCCAUCGGGGGUAGAUCUAUCUCAUGACGAGUGGUGGAAUACUUUGACUCAUGAGAGAGAAGCUGAGGCGAAGGCGUCUACCUAGAGGGUUUCUGUCGAUCAAGGGCGAGAGUAGGAGUAUCCAACAGGAUUAGAGACCCUGGUAGUUCCUACCUUAAACGAUGCCGACAGGAGUUUGUCAUUUGUUAAUGGCAGAAUCUUUGGAGAAAUCAUAGUUCUUGGGCUCUGGGGGAACUACGACCGCAAGGCUGAAACUUGAAGGAAUUGACGGAAGGGCACACCAGGGGUGGAGCCUGUGGCUUAAUUUGAAUCAACACGGGGAAACUUACCAGGACCAGAUGUUUUUUAUGACUGACAGGCUUCGGGUCUUUCAGGAUAUUGUUUUUGGUGGUGCAUGGCCGUUGGUGGUGCGUGGGUUGACCUGUCUAGCGUUGAUUCAGCUAACGAGCGAGAUUAUCGCCAAUUAUUUACUUUGCCGAAGUCCUUCGGUUAAAGUUCUAAUUGGGACUCCCUGCGAUUUUAGCAGGUGGAAGAAGGUAGCAAUAACAGGUCCGUGAUGCCCUUUAGAUGCUCUGGGCUGCACGCCGUGCUAC